CCUACGGGAGGCAGCAGUGAGGAAUAUUGGUCAAUGGGCGUAAGCCUGAACCAGCCAAGUCGCGUGAGGGAUGAAGGUUCUAUGGAUCGUAAACCUCUUUUAUCAGGGAGUAAAGUGCGGGACGUGUCACGCUUUGGAUGUACCUUAAGAAUAAGGAUCGGCUAACUCCGUGCCAGCAGCCGCGGUAAUACGGAGGAUCCGAGCGUUACCCGGAUUUAUUGGGUUUAAAGGGUGCGUAGGCGGCCUUUUAAGGGAGCGGUGAAAGUCGGUGGGCCAACCAGCGAAUUGCCGUUGAAACUGGGAGGCUUGAGUAUGUUUGAGGCAUGCGGAAUGCGUGGUGUAGCGGUGAAAUGCUUAGAUAUCACGCAGAACCCCGAUUGCGAAGGCAGCCUGCC
This 395-nucleotide ribosomal RNA is filed under the name uncultured bacterium. RNAcentral describes it as "partial 16S ribosomal RNA". It matches the Rfam family "Bacterial small subunit ribosomal RNA", at positions 338 to 730 of the family's 1533-position model. The record is from RNAcentral.